Molecule: ribosomal RNA, 253 nt
Filed under: uncultured bacterium
Lineage: Bacteria
Description: partial 16S ribosomal RNA
Rfam family: Bacterial small subunit ribosomal RNA
Source: RNAcentral
UACGGGGGGGGCAAGCGUUGUUCGGAAUUACUGGGCGUAAAGGGCUCGUAGGCGGCCAACUAAGUCAUACGUGAAAUCCCUCGGCUUAACCGGGGAACUGCGUCUGAUACUGGAUGGCUUGAGAUUGGGAGAGGGAUGCGGAAUUCCAGGUGUAGCGGUGAAAUGCGUAGGUAUCUGGAGGAACACCGGUGGCGAAGGCGGCAUCCUGGACCAACACUGACGCUGAGGAGCGAAAGCCAGGGGAGCAAACGGG